Molecule: non-coding RNA, 68 nt
Organism: Bacteroidetes bacterium GWC2_33_15
Lineage: Bacteria; Pseudomonadati; Bacteroidota
Source: Rfam
AUAUAGUGGAGACUAGCAACCACUUUAAAAACAGGGCAGUACUGAAAAGCCAUACGAGUAGGAUAAUU